This 511-nucleotide ribosomal RNA is filed under the name Pediococcus acidilactici. RNAcentral's name for it is "bacterial SSU rRNA". It matches the Rfam family "Bacterial small subunit ribosomal RNA", at positions 54 to 521 of the family's 1533-position model. Lineage: Bacteria; Bacillati; Bacillota; Bacilli; Lactobacillales; Lactobacillaceae. The record is from RNAcentral.
CNUGCAGUCGAACGAACUUCCGUUAAUUGAUUAUGACGUGCUUGCACUGAAUGAGAUUUUAACACGAAGUGAGUGGCGGACGGGUGAGUAACACGUGGGUAACCUGCCCAGAAGCAGGGGAUAACACCUGGAAACAGAUGCUAAUACCGUAUAACAGAGAAAACCGCCUGGUUUUCUUUUAAAAGAUGGCUCUGCUAUCACUUCUGGAUGGACCCGCGGCGCAUUAGCUAGUUGGUGAGGUAACGGCUCACCAAGGCGAUGAUGCGUAGCCGACCUGAGAGGGUAAUCGGCCACAUUGGGACUGAGACACGGCCCAGACUCCUACGGGAGGCAGCAGUAGGGAAUCUUCCACAAUGGACGCAAGUCUGAUGGAGCAACGCCGCGUGAGUGAAGAAGGGUUUCGGCUCGUAAAGCUCUGUUGUUAAAGAAGAACGUGGGUGAGAGUAACUGUUCACCCAGUGACGGUAUUUAACCAGAAAGCCACGGCUAACUACGUGCCAGCAGNNGCGGU